GGAGUCUUCCUUUUACAGUGCUCAACCAGCCUGGUCAAGGUCCUGUGGCCAUCCGGGCACAGAACGGACCGGAGUCAAAGCCAAAGCCAUGGCAAACACUUUCUGCUGUGCUGAGUGCUACCAACAACUGUUCUCACAUGGUGCUCUACUGCUUCCUGAAGAAGGAGAAAUGCUGGAGGCCACUUCUCUCCAUUUUACAUCUCGGAUCAGCAAAGUACACGGAAAAACAGCUGCUGAUUUCACAAGGAGAAAAAGCCACCCUGGAAGACAUUGUAAAAACAUAUUUUGCCUAUGAAGUGACGGGGGCUCCAAAACCUGAAUGGUAAACAGCGGAUCAAGGCGAGAGUGAGUCUGUUCCUCAUUGUGUGACCCUAUGGUGCCCCUUCUCCAUAGCUGCUCCUCCAUGGCCCUUCAAAGGAUGUGCUACUGGGCUCA
This 435-nucleotide long non-coding RNA is filed under the name Mus pahari (shrew mouse). RNAcentral describes it as "predicted gene 15414 (MGP_PahariEiJ_G0002186.1)". The record is from RNAcentral. Lineage: Eukaryota; Metazoa; Chordata; Mammalia; Rodentia; Muridae.